Molecule: transfer RNA, 75 nt
Filed under: Thermaerobacter sp.
Lineage: Bacteria; Bacillati; Bacillota; Clostridia; Eubacteriales; Clostridiales Family XVII. Incertae Sedis
Description: tRNA-Pro
Rfam family: tRNA
About the family: Transfer RNA (tRNA) molecules are approximately 80 nucleotides in length. Their secondary structure includes four short double-helical elements and three loops (D, anti-codon, and T loops).
Source: RNAcentral
CGGGGCGUAGCGCAGCGGUAGCGCACUUGGUUUGGGACCAAGGGGUCGGGGGUUCGAAUCCCCCCGCUCCGACCA